Molecule: long non-coding RNA, 831 nt
Filed under: Astyanax mexicanus (Mexican tetra)
Lineage: Eukaryota; Metazoa; Chordata; Actinopteri; Characiformes; Acestrorhamphidae
Description: lncRNA (ENSAMXG00005010176.1)
Source: RNAcentral
UGUAGUCUAUACAUUUUGCGGCUUUAAUUCUGUGAGAAAGUUCACCAGAAUUAAUGAAUUCCUGUUAAGCUAUAUUUUAUUUCUGUAUUGUAACGCAGGCCAAUAAAUUGGAGAUGAAGAAAUUACAGGAGGAGCAACAGAGAAGGGAGCUGCACCAACAUGAUCUACAAAUGAUAAGAGAACAGCAACAACAAAGGCUUCAGAGGUCCAGCUCAGUUCCUAUGGCAGCGAGCAACUCCACACCAGCGUCAUCUUGGGAUAGGGGGCGCGAGUACAGGGAAGCCAGGAGGGCUGAGGAGCAGAAGGAACUGCAGCUGAGGAAAGCAGAGCAGCGCUUGAAGAGUGAAAUUUUGGAGGAAAAACAAAAACACGAGGAGGAGGACAGGAAGAGGCGAAUGGAAAGCGAACGUCUGCGGGUGAACUCGGCCUUCCUAGACAGACUGGAGGCGAGCGGAUCAGGUAGAGCGUCUGGGUCCCACCCCUGCACCCCGGAGGGUGGUAACAUCUGGAAGACGGAGGAACCACAAGACCCUGCCUCAUCCCCGAUGCCCUUCACAACACAGCUCCACAGUAUCAAGAAGGAGGAAGAGGAGGAGGAGGACGAGAAGAGGGAUGUGAAAGUGGAGGAGGAGGACGAGGAAGCCGAAUGUGAAUGGGCCGUGAUGAAGCUUCAGAAUGACUUCCCUUAUUAUGAGCGAGAUUUCCUCAAAGACAUUGUCUCCCAAUGUAACAACAAUUACAAGCAAGCUUAUGAUCUACUCAAUGUUUAAAGUAGACAACAAUGUUGGUACAGACUAUAAUAUAUAUAAUAAACUGACAUGCCAAAUAUCA